CACUAUUCUAUUUUCGUCUAACGCAACUUCGUGUACGUUAUACAUCUCCCCAUUAAUAAUGCGCUAAUUACUCAGCCAAUCUUCAUUUUUGAUUGACUUACUAUUUUCUAUUACUAUAUGAUAAUAACUAUAAUUAUUUCAAUAACCUCACGCAGAGAAAAUCAAAAGAAAAACGCCCAGUUGGUCGUAUCUACUGUGUAGAGAUCAUUGUUUUUCGCUUGAAGCAGAAUAUUUCUUAUGCUAAACUUACACUUCUCUGUCAUUCUGAAAAUG
This 273-nucleotide long non-coding RNA is filed under the name Brassica rapa (field mustard). RNAcentral describes it as "long non-coding RNA (BRAP_LNC002224)". The record is from RNAcentral. Lineage: Eukaryota; Viridiplantae; Streptophyta; Magnoliopsida; Brassicales; Brassicaceae.